This 484-nucleotide ribosomal RNA is filed under the name uncultured bacterium. RNAcentral describes it as "partial 16S ribosomal RNA". It matches the Rfam family "Bacterial small subunit ribosomal RNA", at positions 28 to 507 of the family's 1533-position model. The record is from RNAcentral.
AUUGAACGCUGGCGGCAUGCUUUACACAUGCCAGUCGAACGGCAGCGCGGGCUUCGGCCUGGCGGCGAGUGGCGAACGGGUGAGUAAUACAUCGGAACGUGCCCAGCAGUGGGGGAUAGCUCGUCGAAAGCCGGAUUAAUACCGCAUACGACCUGCGGGUGCAAGCGGGGGAUCUUCGGACCUCGCGCUCUGGUGGGGGCCGAGGGCCGAUUAGUUAGUUGGUGGGGUAAAGGCCUACUAAGGCGACGAUCUGUAGCUGGUCUGAGAGGACGACCAGCCACACUGGGACUGAGACACGGCCCAGACUCCUGAGGGAGGCAGCAGUGGGGAAUUUUGGACAAUGGGCGAAAGCCUGAUCCAGCAAUGCCGCGUGUGUGAUGGAGGCCUUCGGGUUGUAAAGAACUUUUGGCGGGAACGAAAAGGACUGGGCCAAUACCACGGUUCGAUGACGGUACCCGCAGAAUAAGCACCGGCUAACUACGUG